RNAcentral lists this ribosomal RNA (423 nucleotides) under uncultured bacterium. RNAcentral's name for it is "bacterial SSU rRNA". It matches the Rfam family "Bacterial small subunit ribosomal RNA", at positions 358 to 773 of the family's 1533-position model. The record is from RNAcentral.
GGAAUUUUGCGCAAUGGGGGAAACCCUGACGCAGCAACGCCGCGUGAGUGAAGAAGCAUCUUGGUGUGUAAAGCUCUGUCGACAGGGAAUAAGAUGGAGAGGUUAAGAGCUGUACCAUUUGAAUGUACCUGUAGAGGAAGCCCCGGCUAACUCCGUCACAGCAGCCGCGGUAAUACGGAGGGGGCCAGCGUUAUUCGGAAUUACUGGGCGUAAAGGGCGCGUAGGUGGUUGUGUAAGUGGGAAGUGAAAGCCCUCGGCUUAACCGGGGAACGGCUUUUCAAACUGCACAACUUGAGGAUGGGAGAGGAAAGUGGAAUUCCAGGUGUAGCGGUGAAAUGCGUAGAGAUCUGGAGGAACACCAGUGGCGAAGGCGGCUUUCUGGACCAUACCUGACACUGAGGCGCGAAAGCGUGGGGAGCAAAC